GAUGAACGCUGGCGGCGUGCCUAAUACAUGCAAGUCGAGCGAACGGACGAGAAGCUUGCUCCUCUGAUGUUAGCGGCGGACGGGUGAGUAACACGUGGAUAACCUACCUAUAAGACUGGGAUAACUUCGGGAAACCGUAGCUAAUACCGGAUAAUAUUUUGAACCGCAUGGUUCAAAAGUGAAAGACGGUUUUGCUGUCACUUAUAGAUGGAUCCGCGCUGCAUUAGCUAGUUGGUAAGGUAACGGCUUACCAAGGCAACGAUGCAUAGCCGACCUGAGAGGGUGAUCGGCCACACUGGAACUGAGACACGGUCCAGACUCCUACGGGAGGCAGCAGUAGGGAAUCUUCCGCAAUGGGCGAAAGCCUGACGGAGCAACGCCGCGUGAGUGAUGAAGGUCUUCGGAUCGUAAAACUCUGUUAUUAGGGAAGAACAAAUGUGUAAGUAACUAUGCACAUCUUGACGGUACCUAAUCAGAAAGCCACGGCUAACUACGUG
Molecule: ribosomal RNA, 497 nt
Filed under: uncultured bacterium
Lineage: Bacteria
Description: partial 16S ribosomal RNA
Rfam family: Bacterial small subunit ribosomal RNA
Source: RNAcentral